ACCGGCUAAAGGAUAUGCUGCAAAGGCUCUUACAACCAGUCAGAUGUCCACCAGCUAAAGGAUAUGCUGCAAAGGCUCUUACAACCAGUCAGAUGUCCACCAGCUAAAGGAUAUGCUGCAAAGGCUCUUACAACCAUGUGAAAGGAGGAAAGGAAAUUAUCAGGGUUGUUACACAGAUAAAGGAAGAUGAAGAUAAACACAACAGCGAUGAUGGAGAUGAACAUGACAGCGAUGAUGGAGAUGAACGUGACAGCAAUGAUGAAGAUGAUCGUGACAGCGAUGAUGAAGAUGAACAUGACAGCGUUGAUGAAGAUGUUCGUGACAGCAACGAGGAAGAUGAGCAUGACAGCGAUGAUGAUGAUGAACAUGACGGCAAGGAUGAAGGUGAACAUGACAGCAACAAGGAAGAUGAAUAUGACAGCGAUGAGGAAGAGGUGCCAAGAGGGCCCACUUGUAAGCUUUCCAUUCCAAAUGGAAUAAGGAUGUUGGAGUUCACCAUCCCUCCCUUUAGCUUUUUAUCCGGUGCUUGAAGGAUG
This is a long non-coding RNA of Lytechinus pictus (painted urchin), 536 nucleotides long. RefSeq lists it as uncharacterized. The record is from RefSeq and is a predicted model, not a curated record. The transcript is spliced from 3 exons. Lineage: Eukaryota; Metazoa; Echinodermata; Echinoidea; Temnopleuroida; Toxopneustidae.